GAUGAACGCUGGCGGCGUGCCUAAUACAUGCAAGUCGAGCGAACAGACGAGGAGCUUGCUCCUCUGACGUUAGCGGCGGACGGGUGAGUAACACGUGGAUAACCUACCUAUAAGACUGGGAUAACUUCGGGAAACCGGAGCUAAUACCGGAUAAUAUAUUGAACCGCAUGGUUCAAUAGUGAAAGACGGUUUUGCUGUCACUUAUAUAUGGAUCCGCGCCGCAUUAGCUAGUUGGUAAGGUAACGGCUUACCAAGGCAACGAUGCGUAGCCGACCUGAGAGGGUGAUCGGCCACACGGGAACUGAGACACGGUCCAGACUCCUACGGGAGGCAGCAGUAGGGAAUCUUCCGCAAUGGGCGAAAGCCUGACGGAGCAACGCCGCGUGAGUGAUGAAGGUCUUCGGAUCGUAAAACUCUGUUAUUAGGGAAGAACAAAUGUGUAAGUAACUAUGCACGUCUUGACGGUACCUAAUCAGAAAGCCACGGCUAACUACGUG
This 497-nucleotide ribosomal RNA is filed under the name uncultured bacterium. RNAcentral describes it as "partial 16S ribosomal RNA". It matches the Rfam family "Bacterial small subunit ribosomal RNA", at positions 28 to 507 of the family's 1533-position model. The record is from RNAcentral.